AGGGACAGACGCAGCCUGAUCAGCCAUGCCGCGUGCGUGAGAAGGCCCUCUGGUUGUAAAGCUGCUUUUGCCCGGAAGAAAACCUAAAUACCAGUAUUUUGCUGCAUGGACGGUACCAAUAAAGAACGCCUAACUCAAUGCCAUGCCCCCCGCCGCUAUAAUAA
RNAcentral lists this ribosomal RNA (164 nucleotides) under uncultured bacterium. Its description in RNAcentral is "partial 16S ribosomal RNA". The record is from RNAcentral.